Molecule: ribosomal RNA, 303 nt
Filed under: Triticum aestivum (bread wheat)
Lineage: Eukaryota; Viridiplantae; Streptophyta; Magnoliopsida; Poales; Poaceae
Description: partial small subunit ribosomal RNA
Source: RNAcentral
AUGGGACGGUGGCAACAGAAGCUAUGGCGGCAACAAACAUCCAUGUCAGAAUCUAUUGCUGCUGCAACUAGUCUCCCCCAGCUGCCUGCUAGAUCGUCUCCUUUGACACAGAGUAAAUCAUUUGCUAUGGCUAGUCGGGCGGGGCUGACUAAAUAUGCUCAGGGUAAUGUGUUGCAAAAUAAUGAUAGGGCACACGCUGUUGCUACCAUGAGAGCUGAGGAUAGGAAUGUUGGUUCAGUUAAUGGGGCUCGCCAGUUGCAACAUCCACCCUUUUGCGCUCCUUUCUGGUGGUCAGAUUGUUGA